RNAcentral lists this transfer RNA (73 nucleotides) under Nitrososphaerota archaeon. RNAcentral's name for it is "Thaumarchaeota archaeon tRNA-Leu". It matches the Rfam family "tRNA". Rfam says of the family: Transfer RNA (tRNA) molecules are approximately 80 nucleotides in length. Their secondary structure includes four short double-helical elements and three loops (D, anti-codon, and T loops). Lineage: Archaea; Thermoproteati; Nitrososphaerota. The record is from RNAcentral.
GGGCCGGUAGCUCAGAAUGGUUAGAGCGUUCGAGUAAAUCGAAAGGUCGGGAGUUCAAAUCUCCUCCGGCCCA